UAGACUUAUGAAGGUACUUAUUUAUGUAUUAACAUACUUCUCAAAGUAAUAAAAAUAUAGUCAAUGCCAUUAUUCAUUAAUGUAGUAAGGUUCUUUAAAUGAUUGUCCUUAUUAAUAAAGUUGGAAUUACCGGCGGUUUUCACACCGCGAUAAAGUGGCGACAACUUUUUUAUGUCCCCCACUAUAGUAGUGGGGGACAUAUUGUUUUUGCCCUGUCUGUUGGUUGGUUGGUUGGUCUGUUGGUUGGUUUGCGCCAACUUUAACAUUUUGCAAUAACUUUUGCUAUAUUGAAGAUAGCAACUUCAUAUUUGGCAUGCAUGUGUAUCUCAUGAAGCUGCACAUUUUGAGUGGUGAAAGGUCAAGGUCAUCCUUCAAGGUCAGAGGUCAAAUAUAUGUGGCACAAAUCGCUUAUUUUAUGAAUACUUUUGCAAUAUUGAAGAUAGCAACUUGAUAUUUGGCAUGCAUGUGUAUCUCAUGGAGCUGCACAUUUUGAGUGGUGAAAGGUCAAGGUCAUCCUUCAAGGUCAGAGGUCAAAUAUAUGUGGCCCAAAUCGCUUAUUUUAUGAAUACUUUUGCAAUAUUGAAGAUAGCAACUUGAUAUUUGGCAUGCAUGUGUAUCUCAUGGAGCUGCACAUUUUGAGUGGUGAAAGGUCAAGGUCAAGGUCAUCCUUCACAAGGUCAAGGUCAUCCUACAAUGUCAAACAUCAUAUAGGGGGACAUUGUGUUUCACAAACACAUCU
Long non-coding RNA from Dreissena polymorpha, 739 nucleotides. RefSeq lists it as uncharacterized. The record is from RefSeq and is a predicted model, not a curated record. NCBI's taxonomy places the organism in Eukaryota, Metazoa, Mollusca, Bivalvia, Myida, Dreissenidae. The transcript is spliced from 3 exons.